UAGGUGGCGAAUUUUUGCACAAUGUGACGGAAGCCUGAUGCAGCAACGCCGCGUGAAUGAUGAAGGCCUUCGGGUUGUAAAGUUCUGUUGUUAGGGAGGAAGGUGUGCCACUUGAAAUGGCUGCCCCUUGACGGUACCUUGCCAAAAAGCCACGGCUUACUACGUGCCAGCAACCGCGGUAAUUA
This 185-nucleotide ribosomal RNA is filed under the name Bacillus sp. B3(2010). Its description in RNAcentral is "partial 16S ribosomal RNA". It matches the Rfam family "Bacterial small subunit ribosomal RNA", at positions 351 to 525 of the family's 1533-position model. The record is from RNAcentral. Lineage: Bacteria; Bacillati; Bacillota; Bacilli; Caryophanales; Bacillaceae.